AUAUGUUAGGGAUGACUCUUCCCCCGUAUAUGGGGCCAGAUAUAUAUGUUAGGGCCAGUUAUAUAUGUUAGGGAUGACUCUUCCCCCGUAUAUGGGGCCAGUUAUAUAUGUUAGGGAUGACUCUUCCCCCGUAUAUGGGGCCAGUUAUAUAUGUGAGAGAUGACUCUGACGGGGAAGAGAAUGUUGUAUGGCAGGUCAUGCUUGUUUCUCUCGUUAGAAUAAUGGAAGGAACCUGUUGUGGUGUACCUGUUAACGUCAGGCUAUUGAUCUUCAUCUUUAUUGGGAUGUUUAGGGACCAAACUAAAUGUUGUUACACUUUCAAUGUAAAUAAUGUUACUAUUAUGUCUCUGUGGUGAAACAUGGGUCAUUUCAUGGUUAAAAAAUAUAUAAUAAGGAAGUAUGGUUACCGGUCACUGGUUAUAUCUGUAUAUUGUGCUUUGCAUGCAAGUAUAAACAAAUAAAAUACCAAAUAGUUUGACGUGUACCGUUCUUAUAAGGAGAGUUUAAUAUCUGUCACAGGGAGGUAAAACAUGUUAACACAGCAACUGCUGACACUUCUGCUCGGACUGAUAGACACGCCCACUUUUCUGCAUGUUCAAACAGGUGAUUGGAGAUUUGUUUCCGUGUGUAACCCAUAAGACCAUGUGAACCUCCCAGUCUGCAGCUUUCAGCUGUAUCCACACUAGGUGCACCAGUCGACAGAAAAGUCAGGUUUUGGGGAUUCAACUCGAUCCGGAGUCAGGUGGAUAGAAGAUCCUGCAACCACUUUGUCAAUUUAAAUGCAAAACAGAGAUCUGGGGAAGAGAGAUACGAUGACCCGUUCCCCUGACUUAUCUGGUCUGGGGAUCAUUCAGCUGGGAAAGACUGGAGCAGGGAUGAGUGCAACCGGAAACACCAAACAGGUGUUUAUAGAAGAGUUCUCUUCUGAGUCUGUGACGACACAAUGUGAAGAUAUCCAGAGGAUGAAGAGGACAGCUUCAGACACUACUGAAACAGGAGGAGGAGGAGGAGCAGCAGCAGGAGUAGGUGCAGC
Oncorhynchus tshawytscha (Chinook salmon) is the source of this 1033-nucleotide long non-coding RNA. RefSeq lists it as uncharacterized. The transcript is spliced from 3 exons. The record is from RefSeq and is a predicted model, not a curated record. NCBI's taxonomy places the organism in Eukaryota, Metazoa, Chordata, Actinopteri, Salmoniformes, Salmonidae.